This 433-nucleotide ribosomal RNA is filed under the name uncultured bacterium. Its description in RNAcentral is "partial 16S ribosomal RNA". It matches the Rfam family "Bacterial small subunit ribosomal RNA", at positions 29 to 507 of the family's 1533-position model. The record is from RNAcentral.
AACGAACGCUGGCGGCAUGCCUAACACAUGCAAGUCGAACGAGACCUUCGGGUCUAGUGGCGCACGGGUGCGUCACGCGUGGGAACCUGCCCUUAGGCUCGGAAUAACUCCCCGAAAGGGGUGCUAAUACCGGAUAAUGUCUUCUGACCAAAGAUUUAACGCGUUUGGAUGGGCCCGCGUUGGUUUAGCCUGUUGGUAGGGUAAAAGCCUACCAAGGCGACGAUCCAUAGCUGGUCUGAGAGGCUGGUCAGCCACACUGGGACGGAGACACGGCCCAGACUACUGCGGGAGGCAGCAGUGGGUAAUAUUGGACAAUGGGCGAAAGCCUGAUCCAGCAAUGCCGCGUGAGUGAUGAAGUCCUGAGGGUUGUAAAGCUCUUUUACCCGGGAUGAUAAUGGCAGUACCGGGAGAAUAAGCUCCGGCUAACUCCGUG